UACGGAGGGUGCAAGCGUUGUCCGGAUUUAUUGGGUUUAAAGGGUGCGUAGGCGGCUAAUUAAGUCAGCGGUGAAAUUCCACAGCUCAACUGUGUGAACUGCCAUUGAUACUGGUUGGCUUGAGUACAGAUGAGGUAGGCGGAAUUGACAGUGUAGCGGUGAAAUGCUUAGAUAUUGUCAAGAACACCUAUUGCGAAGGCAGCUUACUAAACUGUAACUGACGCUGAGGCACGAAAGCGCGGGGAUCAAACAGG
This 254-nucleotide ribosomal RNA is filed under the name uncultured bacterium. RNAcentral's name for it is "partial 16S ribosomal RNA". It matches the Rfam family "Bacterial small subunit ribosomal RNA", at positions 524 to 776 of the family's 1533-position model. The record is from RNAcentral.